CCCGUGGCGGCGGCUAUACAUGCAAGUCGAGCGGACAGAUGGGAGCUUGCUCCCUGAUGUUAGCGGCGGACGGGUGAGUAACACGUGGGUAACCUGCCUGUAAGACUGGGAUAACUCCGGGAAACCGGGGCUAAUACCGGAUGGUUGUUUGAACCGCAUGGUUCAGACAUAAAAGGUGGCUUCGGCUACCACUUACAGAUGGACCCGCGGCGCAUUAGCUAGUUGGUGAGGUAACGGCUCACCAAGGCGACGAUGCGUAGCCGACCUGAGAGGGUGAUCGGCCACACUGGGACUGAGACACGGCCCAGACUCCUACGGGAGGCAGCAGUAGGGAAUCUUCCGCAAUGGACGAAAGUCUGACGGAGCAACGCCGCGUGAGUGAUGAAGGUUUUCGGAUCGUAAAGCUCUGUUGUUAGGGAAGAACAAGUGCCGUUCAAAUAGGGCGGCACCUUGACGGUACCUAACCAGAAAGCCACGGCUAACUACGUGCCAGCAGCCGCGGUAAUACGUAGGUGGCAAGCGUUGUCCGGAAUUAUUGGGCGUAAAGGGCUCGCAGGCGGUUUCUUAAGUCUGAUGUGAAAGCCCCCGGCUCAACCGGGGAGGGUCAUUGGAAACUGGGGAACUUGAGUGCAGAAGAGGAGAGUGGAAUUCCACGUGUAGCGGUGAAAUGCGUAGAGAUGUGGAGGAACACCAGUGGCGAAGGCGACUCUCUGGUCUGUAACUGACGCUGAGGAGCGAAAGCGUGGGGAGCGAACAGGAUUAGAUACCCUGGUAGUCCACGCCGUAAACGAUGAGUGCUAAGUGUUAGGGGGUUUCCGCCCCUUAGUGCUGCAGCUAACGCAUUAAGCACUCCGCCUGGGGAGUACGGUCGCAAGACUGAAACUCAAAGGAAUUGACGGGGGCCCGCACAAGCGGUGGAGCAUGUGGUUUAAUUCGAAGCAACGCGAAGAACCUUACCAGGUCUUGACAUCCUCUGACAUCCUAGAGAUAGGGACGUCCCCUUCGGGGGCAGAGUGACAGUGGUGCAUGGAUGUCGUCAGCUCGUGUCGUGAGAUGUUGGGUUAAGUCCCCGCAACGAGCGCAACCCC
RNAcentral lists this ribosomal RNA (1088 nucleotides) under Bacillus velezensis. RNAcentral describes it as "bacterial SSU rRNA". It matches the Rfam family "Bacterial small subunit ribosomal RNA", at positions 36 to 1105 of the family's 1533-position model. The record is from RNAcentral. Lineage: Bacteria; Bacillati; Bacillota; Bacilli; Caryophanales; Bacillaceae.